RNAcentral lists this long non-coding RNA (436 nucleotides) under Numida meleagris (helmeted guineafowl). Its description in RNAcentral is "lncRNA (ENSNMEG00000019315.1)". Lineage: Eukaryota; Metazoa; Chordata; Aves; Galliformes; Numididae. The record is from RNAcentral.
UGAGCAUCUGCUGUUCCAAUUCACUGCUUCCUAGGAAGGAUGAGGUGUAACUGUAAUCUGUUACUUUGAGAUCCUUCUGUGAAAGACAUUAAACGAGUACAAGUUGUUGCUGGGAGGCAGUUUGUAUAACCAGUCACUGACCAGAAGACCAGCCAUUAAUUUUUGGUUUCUCUGUUUAUUGCAGCUGAUAAGGAGAAUAUGCCAAGUCAACUGGAUGAGUCAGCACGGGCAACAUAAAGAGCCGAGGGAUCGCCUUGUGCCAGAGCCACCUCCGCAGCCCCUUCGGCCACCCCAGCCCCGAGCAGAGGCUGAGCACAUCUGAAUAUUCCUAUUCAACUCUGCAAACAGCCAGAGAUACUCCAAAACCGUGCGUGAGACCAGAUGAUGUGAAACUUUCCACCAUUAAACCCCUGUUCAGGCGCGCUCCAGAAGCAGG